UACGUAGGGACCGAGCGUUGUCCGGAUUCAUUGGGCGUAAAGAGCUCGUAGGCGGCUGUUCAAGUCGAACGUGAAAACUCGGGGCUCAACUCCGAGCCUGCGUUCGAUACUGGAUGGCUAGAGUCUGGUAGGGGGAUCUGGAAUUCCUGGUGUAGCGGUGAAAUGCGCAGAUAUCAGGAAGAACACCGAUGGCGAAGGCAGCUCUCUGGGACGGUACUGACGCUGAGACGCGAAAGCGUGGGGAGCGAACAGG
This 253-nucleotide ribosomal RNA is filed under the name uncultured bacterium. RNAcentral's name for it is "partial 16S ribosomal RNA". It matches the Rfam family "Bacterial small subunit ribosomal RNA", at positions 524 to 776 of the family's 1533-position model. The record is from RNAcentral.